RNAcentral lists this long non-coding RNA (5424 nucleotides) under Lotus japonicus. RNAcentral describes it as "long non-coding RNA (LJAP_LNC001143)". Lineage: Eukaryota; Viridiplantae; Streptophyta; Magnoliopsida; Fabales; Fabaceae. The record is from RNAcentral.
GUUGAAAGAUUUUUUACCACUCUACGUUGAAUCUCUCAAGACUCAAUUGUAGUAUAGUAAAGGGUUUUGUCGUAUCCACAGGGAGGUGUAAUACUUAUGCCGUUCAAUAGCUAACAGACUUAAAUGAUGGUUUACAAAUAUAUUGGGUGUUUGUUUAAAAACAUAAAAACAUAAAUAAAGAAGAUAAAAGAGUUGGAUUCACCAAGGUAGAUAGUUUUGCUGAGAUUAGAGUUUCGUUAUCUGACCUCUAUGUAUUCUAUUGAUUCACAUACAAAUAUAGUUCUAUGAAAUUGAUUCCUCCCACCAUUUCUUAUCUUACUACCCAGUCCCCCGGCGUAGAAAAUUAUCAACUCAGCUAUAUUAACCCUCAAUCCCUUGAUCGAUUAACAAUAGUGAGUAGCAUUAAGCAUGGAUGUUUGAAUGGACUAAUGAUCUAACCCUAUCCCUAGACCUUAGAAUCAUUAGAUGAUUUUACCUAUUUCAGGUUUAAAUAGCUAGUUCCCACCAUCCUAUUAAACCUAAAUUCAUGUUCUAGGUGAUCAAUCCAAAACAAGCAUAAUGCACAAGGUAAAAUCAUUGAAUCAUGGCAAAGAUACAUAUGAUUAACUCUAGUUCAGACUCAAGAACGUGUGAGUUCCCUACACAAGUUUGAAUCAAUCAAAAUACCCAAGGGGAUCAACCUAAGAUAUAGCAUGAAGCAAAAGAGAAAACCAUUGAUUCUUUAACAUAGAAACAUCAAAUUUGCAUGAAAGGAAAUCAAAUAGAUUACAUGAGCAUCAAAACAACUAGUUCCAAUCCCAACAAAUGAGAAAUUAGCUAUCCAUUUCCAUGGAUAGCUUUACAAUCAUAAAAGAGAAGAAGAACGAUGAAAAACCGAAUACGUGACGGUUCCCCGGCGAUGAAAUCGGCUCUAAAGCCUUCUCCCAAGUCUCCUAUACCUCCCUUGAUGCUCUCCUUCGAGUUCUAUCUUUCCCAAAGUUGUGGGUUUCAGUUCUGGUCCCAGAAGUUCUCCUCUGUUAUGAUUUAAAUUUUCCUUUUAAAUUGCAAAUCUGGCACGAUCGCUCAGCCCCUUUUCUGGUCGCUCAGCGCCCUGUUACUUUAGGGAUGGGUUUUCUUUAACCGCCUUGAAGACGCUUUGCCCCUUUCUUGGCCGCUCAGCCCUUUUCUGACAGGAUAAAAGGAGCUCAGCUGGUUUUUAAAGGGCUCAGCUGGUUUUUAAAGGGCUCAGCUGAUUUUUCCCAAACCUUCCAAAACUCUUUAUCUUUUCACCAAAUCUUCAUCUCUUCACUAGAUUCAUGUCCCUACAACAACAAUUGAGAUUGGAUCUCCAUUUAAACACAUUCUAAUCAAAAUAGAGUCAAUUUGCAAGAUAAUUUCCAUAAAUCACAUAGACAAGUGCCUUAAUAACAAUGGAAAACUACGUAAAAUUGGCACUUAUCAACUCCUCCCAACUUAGCACUUUGUUUGUCCUCAAACAAAAGGUAAUGACUUAAAUCAAACAAGCAUGACUUAAACUUUUUCAAAGCUCAAUUUGCAAGAUCUCACAAAGAUUGAAUCAAUGAUCCAAAACAGAAACAUGAUGCCCACAAGAGAAUGCAUGACAUUAAUACAACUACUUAUGCAACAUGAAACUCAAUAGGCAUGCAGUCAAUUACUCUUGAUCAGGGAACCACUCAAUCGAGUCAGGAUAUAGCAUGUAAAUCAGGCAAGGUAUGUGUUUCGCUCAUGUACAUCACUGAAUCACAUAAGUCAAGAUUGUUACUUGUCUCCUCAAUCAUCAAAACUACAUGUGAAAUCAAGGAUCACUAAGGUCUUUACAGGGUUGUAAUGAGGCUAGGCUUCAAAGAGUUUUGUUUUUCAGGAUAUGCAAAGAAACUCAACAAGGCAAGAGAGAAAUCACACUUUACAUUCAUGAUAUUCACUCCCCUCAACUUGCUUUAAACCAACUCCCAUUCACCAUGUUCAAUUCAACUCAACUCUUUGUUUUCUCAUCAAUCUCUUCUUUAUUCUCUUUUUGUUCUUGUUGCAUUUUUUUUCUUUCUAUUUUUGCCCUUUUCUUUUCUUUUCAAGCAUACUCACAUUUGAAAAUGUUUACAAAUACAUUGAAUCUGAAAUUGCACAAAAAAUUCAGCUCAAGAGCCUUCUCCCCCCAACUUGCAUACAACUCACACUAGUGAAUGCUCUCUUAGCCUAUCGAGCUUAGGAAAGUCGUUGUUUUUCUUUUAGGGAUAGGGUUAUAGUGAAGAACAAUACACAAAACAUUCAACAUUCAGGCUCAAAGGGGUAACAAAUGGACUUCUAUUGAAAUAGGAAGGCUAUUUAGCUAAGUAGCUAUAUAUACAUAACAAAAUAUGCCUUGAUCCUUUCCUAUCAAUUCCAUGCAGCCAAUGAUAUCAGAGACUCAAACAAAAUCAACCAUGCAAAGAAGUGAUGCUCUCUCAACUCACAGUGUAUAGGAACACUCCCUCACAGGCUAAAAAGUUUCAAAUAACCCUGAUUUUCAAGUAAUUUUCAUGUUAUGCUUCAAGAAUUCCAAGUGAAUCAUGCAAUCAUAUCAAGUCAUGGAAUCAAUGAGUGCAAGCACAAUUUCAAUCAUGGAAUCAUUCAUUUUUGUAGCAUAAAUCAAGCAAUUCUUACAAUAGUCAUGCAAGUAUUGAAACAGUCAGGGAAUCAUGGAAACCGGAACACGAGUGCUAUAUAUAAACUACACGAUUAAAAGGAAACUAAAAACGGUGAAAAAAGGACUCCCUCAUGAUGUGAAUGCUUUGAACCAAGCUCUCUACUUAAAUCUUUGAUCUCUUUCUCCCUCCAUGGGAAUUGGACUGUCCUCAGGCCAAAUUGCAUGAUUCACCUAUUAAUCUGCCUUACAGUCACUAAAUAACAGGUUAGAGUACAAGAGAUAAAUGAGAAUAUCAAAGCAUUGAAACAACUCAAACCCUAGUCCAUAUGAAAAUAGAUUUCAAGAGCUUUCCAAAGAGUGGUCAUUGGUUUAAAUCCAAUAAGAAAUGAAGAAGUUAUGCUCAUUUGAAUAAAAGAGUGAAUUGCUGAUAAGGGGGUGGCGCUGAGCGGCCUCUGCAUAGCGCUGAGCGGUCGACAUCAGAGUUUGAGGCCGCUGAGCCCUAUCAGAUGGACGCUGGGCGCCCUGUGCAAUGUAAAAACUCAAGUAAACUCAAAACCCACAACUCGAUCGGUCCAAUUUUGAGUUCUACACUUCCCGAUCAUGCCAAUUGAUUUAUUCACAUUCAUAUAUCAUUUAAAACUUGUCCAAGCCCUAAAAUUUAACAAUCAAGCAUAAUUUAGCAAAGAUUCACAAUCCAAGUCUUCCAAAGACAAGUUUCCAUGCUUUUUCACAACUUGAUAGGCCAUAAUUUGAUAUAUUCAUUUCUAGUACAUGCCGCUUAGUCCAAGCACACAUAAAUACCCUAAGAAACUUGUGCGUACCUAAAAAUUAGCAAUUGAAGCACAUUUAGCACAAAAGUCAUUCUAGGUUCCAUUAAUGGUCAAAUUUCAUGAUUUCACAACUCAACACCUUAUCUUUUUCAUUGCUCAAAUUCCUUGCAUUCUAUGCCUCAUAAUCACUCAUCCAUGUCAUUUAAAACUUGUGGAGAGCCUUAUAACACACAAUUGAAGCACAUUUUCUCAUGACAUACUCCAUAGACCAUACAAGAGCAAAUUGACCUUCAAUUUUGAAAUUUCAUCACAUCAUCAAAGGGUUCACUACAAAACUAUUCUUAAACUUGAAAAACAACACUAAUUCACACAUGAGAUGGUUCAUAAGUAAUGGGAAGCACGAUUUCACAAUUUAUGCAGAAAAUGGCUAGGAGAGACUAGUUUUUCAUCCGAAACUCACAACCACAAACCCCGAAUUUUGCAAAACACUCAAACCAUACACACCAACCAUCCAUAUGCAUGCUAAAUCUAAAUUUGGACUUGUUACAACUCUCAAUUGCAGAUUUUGAAAAGAAAUUUCACAUGAUCCAAAUUUCAGUAAGUUUUCAUGCAUUUUCACAAGUCAAUCCCUCAAAUUCCAAAUUCAUCAUUUUCAUUGCUUCCAAAACCUUUAAACACACUCAAUAUAUCUAUCAAAACUUGUGAAGCACCUUAAAGCACAAAUUUAAUCAAACCUUCACAAAAUCACUACCCUAGUUCUAAAAGCACAAUAAAAACAAUAAAAAACUGGGUUGCCUCCCGGGAAGCGCUUGUUUAACGUCAUUAGCUUGACGCAAACACAAUCAAGGUGACCAUAAACAAGGGUUAUAAUAUAACCCCUUCCGCUUCUUAGGCCGUUUGACUUGGAUUUCAUUUAAAUUCCUAUCAAAAGCUUUCCAAGCCAGCAAAAGUUUUUUAUUUCUCUUCAUUUUCUCAACCCAAACCAAUUCACCUACACUCAACUCACAUGCCAAGCUAUUUACAUGCAUAUGAAUGAAUGCGAAUUUACAAUUCUUUGAAGAAUUGGAUUCAGUCAGCUCAUCAAACCUAUCACCAAAUACAACGUCUAUAUGCUCAACAUUAAGAAUUUCAUCAUUGUGUUGGUGAUGUGAUAUACUAUCAAAUUCUUCAAAGCUUACCUCAUCCUCUUCACGUUUUACCGUUGGAGGGCUUGAAGAAAUCGGUAAGUGGUGAAGGGUUGGAUCAUUUUCUUCUUUUUUUGAUUUUUUCUCUUCUUCCUCACUUUCUUCCACUUCCCCUUGUGCUUCAACCACAUCUCUUCCAUGUUCAGCUACCAUGGUAGCUAGCUUUCCAAUUUGAUCCUCCAAGUUUUUGAUCGAAGCCUCGGUAUUCCUUUGAUUAAUCAUUGACAAUUGCAUGAAUUGCACCAAGGUAUUCUCAAGCUUGGAAAUCCUAUCCUCUUCAGAGGGGUAGAAUGACUGAGAUGGUUGAUCCAUUUAAAGAAGUUGGUGAUUUAGAAGCUUCUUGUUGAUUCUCCUCUUGAGCUAGAUAACUAACACAAGAGAUUAGUAACAACAAGAAAAGUAAACAGAAAACAAAAACUGUACACUAUAUUCACAAUCAUUCAAGAAUGAAAACUACUGCAAUGCAAUUAGUAUUGACACACCUCCCCGGCAACGGCGCCAUUUUGUUGAAAGAUUUUUUACCACUCUACGUUGAAUCUCUCAAGACUCAAUUGUAGUAUAGUAAAGGGUUUUGUCGUAUCCACAGGGAGGUGUAAUACUUAUGCCGUUCAAUAGCUAACAGACUUAAAUGAUGGUUUACAAAUAUAUUGGGUGUUUGUUUAAAAACAUAAAAACAUAAAUAAAGAAGAUAAAAGAGUUGGAUUCACCAAGGUAGAUAGUUUUGCUGAGAUUAGAGUUUCGUUGUCUGACCUCUAUGUAUUCUAUUGAUUCACAUACAAAUAUAGUUCUAUGAAAUUGAUUCCUCCCACCAUUUCUUAUCUUACUACCCAGUCCCCCGGCGUAGAAAAUU